RNAcentral lists this transfer RNA (61 nucleotides) under Bacillus sp. OK048. It matches the Rfam family "tRNA", at positions 6 to 65 of the family's 71-position model. From Rfam's summary of the family: Transfer RNA (tRNA) molecules are approximately 80 nucleotides in length. Their secondary structure includes four short double-helical elements and three loops (D, anti-codon, and T loops). Lineage: Bacteria; Bacillati; Bacillota; Bacilli; Caryophanales; Bacillaceae. The record is from Rfam by way of RNAcentral.
AGUAGCUCAGUGGUAGAGCAAUCGGCUGUUAACCGAUCGGUCGAUGGUUCGAGUCCCUCCU